UCGGGAAUAUUGGACAAUGGGCGAAAGCCUGAUCCAGCGACACCACGUGAAUGAUGAAGGCCUUCGGGUUGUAAAGUUCUUUCGCUUGAGAAGAUAAUGACGUUAUCAAGAGAAGAAGUCCUGGCUAAUCCUGUGCCAGCAGCCGCGGUAAUACAGGGGGGGCUAGUGUUGUUCGGAAUUACUGGGCGUAAAGGGUGCGUAGGCGGCGCCUUAAGUAGAAUGUUAAAUAUGCAGGCUCAACCUGUCAUGUGCAUUCUAAACUGGGGUGCUAGAGUUUGGAAGAGGAAAAUAGAAUUUCUAGUGGAGAGGUGAAAUUCUUAGAUAUUAGAAGGAAUACCAAGAGCGAAGGCAAUUUUCUGGUACAAUACUGACGCUGAGGCACGAAAGCGUGGGGAGCAAA
RNAcentral lists this ribosomal RNA (400 nucleotides) under uncultured bacterium. RNAcentral's name for it is "bacterial SSU rRNA". It matches the Rfam family "Bacterial small subunit ribosomal RNA", at positions 355 to 772 of the family's 1533-position model. The record is from RNAcentral.